RNAcentral lists this ribosomal RNA (725 nucleotides) under uncultured Veillonellaceae bacterium. Its description in RNAcentral is "bacterial SSU rRNA". It matches the Rfam family "Bacterial small subunit ribosomal RNA", at positions 508 to 1230 of the family's 1533-position model. The record is from RNAcentral. Lineage: Bacteria; Bacillati; Bacillota; Negativicutes; Veillonellales; Veillonellaceae.
UCAGUAGCCGCGGUAAUACGUAGGUGGCAAGCGUUGUCCGGAAUUAUUGGGCGUAAAGCGCGCGCAGGCGGGAAUGUNNNNNUGUCUUAAAAGUUCGGGGCUCAACCCCGUGAUGGGAUGGAAACUACAUUUCUUGAGUGCAGGAGAGGACAGUGGAAUUCCCAGUGUAGCGGUGAAAUGCGUAGAUAUUGGGAGGAACACCAGUGGCGAAGGCGACUGUCUGGACUGUGUCUGACGCUGAGGCGCGAAAGCCAGGGGAGUGAACGGGAUUAGAUACCCCGGUAAUCCUGGCCGUAAACGAUGGGUACUAGGUGUUGGGGGUAUCGACCCCUCCAGUGCCGGAGUUAACGCAAUAAGUACCCCGCCUGGGGAGUACGGCCGCAAGGCUGAAACUCAAAGGAAUUGACGGGGGCCCGCACAAGCGGUGGAGUAUGUGGUUUAAUUCGACGCAACGCGAAGAACCUUACCAGGACUUGACAUCGAUUGAAAUACCUAGAGAUAGGUACCUUCCCUUCGGGGAACAAGAAGACAGGUGGUGCAUGGCUGUCGUCAGCUCGUGUCGUGAGAUGUUGGGUUAAGUCCCGCAACGAGCGCAACCCUUAUCCUAUGUUGCCAGCGAGUAAAGUCGGGAACUCAUGGGAGACUGCCGCAGACAAUGCGGAGGAAGGCGGGGAUGACGUCAAGUCAUCAUGCCCCUUAUGUCCUGNGCUACACACGUACUACAA